RNAcentral lists this ribosomal RNA (468 nucleotides) under uncultured bacterium. RNAcentral's name for it is "partial 16S ribosomal RNA". It matches the Rfam family "Bacterial small subunit ribosomal RNA", at positions 28 to 507 of the family's 1533-position model. The record is from RNAcentral.
GACGAACGCUGGCGGCGUGCUUAACACAUGCAAAUCGAACGGAAAGGCCCUGCUUUUGUGGGGUGCUCGAGUGGCGAACGGGUGAGUAACACGUGAGUAACCUGCCCUUGACUUUGGGAUAACUUCAGGAAACUGGGGCUAAUACCGGAUAGGAGCUCCUGCUGCAUGGUGGGGGUUGGAAAGUUUCGGCGGUUGGGGAUGGACUCGCGGCUUAUCAGCUUGUUGGUGGGGUAGUGGCUUACCAAGGCUUUGACGGGUAGCCGGCCUGAGAGGGUGACCGGCCACAUUGGGACUGAGAUACGGCCCAGACUCCUACGGGAGGCAGCAGUGGGGAAUAUUGCACAAUGGGCGGAAGCCUGAUGCAGCAACGCCGCGUGCGGGAUGACGGCCUUCGGGUUAUAAACCGCUUUCGCCUGUGACGAAGCGUGAGUGACGGUAAUGGGUAAAGAAGCACCGGCUAACUACGUG